CCCAUGGCCAAGUCGAGGGGUAACAUUGUGCUUGCACAGAUGACGACCGGCGCACGGGUGCGUAACGCGUAUAGAACCUACCUUUUACAGAGGAAUAGCCUUUAGAAAUGAAGAUUAAUGCCUCAUAGUAUUGAGUAAUCGCAUGAUUAUUUAAUUAAAGAUUUAUCGGUAAAAGAUGGCUAUGCGUCCUAUUAGUUAGUUGGUAAGGUAACGGCUUACCAAGACAUCGAUAGGUAGGGGUCCUGAGAGGGAGAUCCCCCACACUGGUACUGAGACACGGACCAGACUCCUACGGGAGGCAGCAGUGAGGAAUAUUGGACAAUGGAGGAGACUCUGAUCCAGCCAUGCCGCGUGUAGGAAGAAUGCCCUAUGGGUUGUAAACUACUUUUAUACAGGAAGAAACACUGGUAUGUAUACCAGCUUGACGGUACUGUAAGAAUAAGGACCGGCUAACUCCGUGCCAGCAGCCGCGGUAAC
RNAcentral lists this ribosomal RNA (477 nucleotides) under uncultured Polaribacter sp. RNAcentral describes it as "bacterial SSU rRNA". It matches the Rfam family "Bacterial small subunit ribosomal RNA", at positions 52 to 524 of the family's 1533-position model. The record is from RNAcentral. Lineage: Bacteria; Pseudomonadati; Bacteroidota; Flavobacteriia; Flavobacteriales; Flavobacteriaceae.